This is a long non-coding RNA of Betta splendens (Siamese fighting fish), 456 nucleotides long. RefSeq lists it as uncharacterized. Lineage: Eukaryota; Metazoa; Chordata; Actinopteri; Anabantiformes; Osphronemidae. The transcript has 3 exons. The record is from RefSeq and is a predicted model, not a curated record.
GUCCUGGAAAGAAGGAAGCAAGUGCACAACCGCUACGUGACUGGUUUUCCCAUUAGGAGAGCAGGGUUUUUUCCAAGGAAGACGUUGCUAAGACACCGGUGUUUACUGCACACAAUAGCGUUUCAUCCGAGUGUGUUGUAAAAGUUUGGAGUGAACAGGAAAACAAGGACAAAAAUAAAACACAGGGUCUCUAAAGGGGGAGAUGAAAGGAUGGAUGGCAUCGAAAAAAAAGUCCGUCCUGGAAAAAAGCCCAGAUCUGUGGAGCCACCUCCUCCCAGGCCUUCCCCAUGGUCCUCAGGCGCCCCAGCUCUUCAAAGGCCAAAGGAAGCAACUGUUUCCUGCCGACUAUAAAUAGGCGGCUGUGAACUUCUGAAUGGAGCUGGACUGGAGCUGCGGCCGGGCCUCACCUCUCGCAGCUUGUCUGAGGCAGCGGAGGCGACCCGCACCCACAGCUGG